RNAcentral lists this ribosomal RNA (469 nucleotides) under uncultured bacterium. RNAcentral describes it as "bacterial SSU rRNA". It matches the Rfam family "Bacterial small subunit ribosomal RNA", at positions 28 to 495 of the family's 1533-position model. The record is from RNAcentral.
GAUGAACGCUGGCGGCGUGCUUAACACAUGCAAGUCGAGCGAAGCACUUUACUUGGAUUUCUUCGGAAUGACGAGUAUUGUGACUGAGCGGCGGACGGGUGAGUAACGCGUGGGUAACCUGCCUCAUACAGGGGGAUAACAGUUAGAAAUGACUGCUAAUACCGCAUAAGACCACAGCACCGCAUGAUGCAGGGGUAAAAACUCCGGUGGUAUGAGAUGGACCCGCGUCUGAUUAGCUGGUUGGUGGGGUAACGGCCUACCAAGGCGACGAUCAGUAGCCGGCCUGAGAGGGCGACCGGCCACAUUGGGACUGAGACACGGCCCAAACUCCUACGGGAGGCAGCAGUGGGGAAUAUUGCACAAUGGGGGAAACCCUGAUGCAGCGACGCCGCGUGAAGGAAGAAGUAUUUCGGUAUGUAAACUUCUAUCAGCAGGGAAGAAAAUGACGGUACCUGACUAAGAAGCCCCG